UAAUAGUUUAAUGGUAUUAGCUAUUUUAAUUACCAAUUAAUAACUUUUAUUUAACUAGUUAUUUAAUAGUUACAGUGAUAGUUUCAAAAUGUGGUGUACACUUGUUGCUGUAAUUUUAUUUUCCAGUUUAUAUCAAGAAGGUGAGGCGGUGUAUUCAAUAUACCAAGUGCAAAAAAUGAAACGCAAGCUAUUUAAAAUGUGUGUAGACCUAAUUUUUGACGCGAAGUCAAAAAUACAACAUGUUCAUUUCAUUAGGAGAGCAUACCACCACAUGAAGGGGUACGAAUACGGAGCCAUGGUAUACGAUAUACGUCGAAAGUAUAGAAGAAUGUUGAUUAUUCAUAAAAAAAUGGUAAAAGGAAUUUUCAAACCUUUCGAGUAUUACAAGGAGACCAACACCAGUCAAUAUGAAUGGUUCAUGAUAGAAGCGGUACACACUGGAUUCGAAAUCGACAAACUAGUAGAAGCUAUUGAGAUAUUUGAAAAUGAUCCACAUAAAUUCAGAAAGGAAAUAAUUGAUACGAUUAUAACAACAACCACAAGACCGAAAAAGACUUUAAAAAAAACAAUUAAUAAAAAAGGCAAGAAAGGACCGGGUCUCUUGAGAUUUGAUGAUUAUGAAUUCUUCAAACAUGGAAGAUCACUGAAGAAAAACCGAAUUCAGUGGCAAGGGGAAUUAGAUGGGCUGGGAUUUGAUUCGGAAAGGGAAUGAAACAAUGUUAAGUACUUAGACCACCACCACACGCUCUGUCCAUAAAUCACAGGUCCAGGGAUUCAAGACAUACUUAUCUAACUCAAGUACAGAGAUGCAUGCGGGACUUUUUUUACCCCGUGCUUUUCAGAAACUGGUGUGUAUUACCACCGACCUAUAUACAAUGAAGCUUUUCAUGAAAACUUUCAGCCUCCAUAGAAGACAAAAUAAAACCUUUAGUUAACUUUUCUGCUAAAAUAAAAAAAACACAUCUAUAACAUGUUCACCGCAGAAUGUGCAUAUUAUUUUAGAGAAAUACCAACAGUUAGCGAACGGUCUGGGUCCUAGAGAACCAUCCAGACCAGACCUUACCUUUUACCUUGCAAAUAAAUUGAGUAGUAACGAAUUGACGCCUUCAAUUUAUGAAACGAUAAGCCCUCGACUGUGGCGUGGUCCGAAGCGCCGUUCUCCAACUUUGAUAUUGCCCCAAGGAAUCUGCUUUGUUAUCAAGCGAUAUCAUUAUACCCGGCUUCUCCUCGGCCGGAUUAAACUACGUUUAUGUUACAAAGUACCUAAUUGCUCUGUUUGUUGCUUUCUUUAAAGAAGACUUAUUUAUGCACAGCUUA
Plodia interpunctella (Indianmeal moth) is the source of this 1317-nucleotide long non-coding RNA. RefSeq lists it as uncharacterized. The transcript is spliced from 4 exons. Lineage: Eukaryota; Metazoa; Arthropoda; Insecta; Lepidoptera; Pyralidae. The record is from RefSeq and is a predicted model, not a curated record.